AAGUAAUCAUGCUCGCCAGCUGUGAGUUAAUAUUUCCUGGGACGACUGCAAAGGGGAUCUAAACUUAUAAGUAAGGGUUAUCGUACCAAUAUUUUAAUUAGAUCUCUCAAUAUUGUUUACAUAGGCACUAAUAUCGGUUUUGUCAUUAGAAAAUUUAAACAUAUCUAAAUUGUAUCUUCUUUUGAGGCGGGAUGUAUAAAGACACAG
Molecule: long non-coding RNA, 207 nt
Filed under: Mytilus galloprovincialis (Mediterranean mussel)
Lineage: Eukaryota; Metazoa; Mollusca; Bivalvia; Mytilida; Mytilidae
Source: RNAcentral